Tympanuchus pallidicinctus (lesser prairie-chicken) is the source of this 1038-nucleotide long non-coding RNA. RefSeq lists it as uncharacterized. The record is from RefSeq and is a predicted model, not a curated record. The transcript is spliced from 4 exons. NCBI's taxonomy places the organism in Eukaryota, Metazoa, Chordata, Aves, Galliformes, Phasianidae.
CCCUGGAGAGCAGAGGGCUUGGAGAAAGCUGCUCGUGCAGAGCAUCCCCAAAGCCCUCAGCAUUGCUCCUACUUGACAGGCACCGUGUGGCCUCCUGGUGCGUCGGCUGCUUUACGGUUUGCUCUUUACACUGUGACUCUCACCAAGCACGUUUGGUUUUAUGAAGCAGCAGAGAACCAUGGGCAGCAUGGUGGGACACCAGUGCCUUAUCAAAGCCUGGAAAUAGAAAAAAGAAAUAGAAAAAAGCACUGCACAGGAACUGUUCAGAGGAGGGAGCAUUGUUGGCGUGCCAGCUGUCUGCCAUGGCGUUGCAUCAGCAGCAGUCUGGCUCUGAAAGGGACUGGGAGACUUGGGCAGCCUGAUCUGGUGGGCGGCAGGCAGCCCAUGGCAUGGGUUGGGGCUAGAGGGGCUUGGAAGUCCCUUCCAGCCAGCCGUGGUGUGAGGCCAUGACUCUGAUCUUUAAGGUCCCUUCCAAUCCAACCAUUCUAUGGUUCCAUGGUUCUGUGACCUUUAAGGACCCUUACAACCCAACCCUGCUGUGAUUCCAUGAUUCAAGAACGCUUCCAACUCAACCACUUUAUAAUUUUAUGGUUCUGUGACCUUUAAGAACCCUUCCAACCCAAGCAUUCUAUAAUUCUAUAGUUCUGUGACCUUUAGGAAUCCCUCAAACCCAACCAUGCUGUGAUUCCACAAUUCUCUCAUCUUUAAGGUCCCUUCCACCCCAACCAUGCCGUGAUUCCACAAUUCUCUCAUCUUUAAGGUCCCUUCCACCCCAACCAUGCCGUGAUUCCACAAUUCUCUCAUCUUUAAGAUCCCUUCCACCCCAACCAUGCCGUGAUUCCACAAUUCUCUGAUCUUUAAGAUCCCUUCCACCCCAACCAUGCCGUGAUUCCACAAUUCUCUGAUCUUUAAGGUCCCUUCCACCCCAACCAUGCCGUGAUUCCACAAUUCUCUCAUCUUUAAGGUCCCUUCCACCCCAACCAUGCCGUGAUUCCACGAUUCUGUGACCUUUGAAGUCUCUUCCAACCCGUUUCUCCC